This 164-nucleotide small nuclear RNA is filed under the name Cebus imitator (Panamanian white-faced capuchin). RNAcentral describes it as "U1 spliceosomal RNA (ENSCCAG00000016445.1)". It matches the Rfam family "U1 spliceosomal RNA". Rfam says of the family: U1 is a small nuclear RNA (snRNA) component of the spliceosome (involved in pre-mRNA splicing). Its 5' end forms complementary base pairs with the 5' splice junction, thus defining the 5' donor site of an intron. The record is from Rfam by way of RNAcentral. Lineage: Eukaryota; Metazoa; Chordata; Mammalia; Primates; Cebidae.
ACACUUACCUGGCAGGGGAGCUACCAUGAUCACGAAGGUGGUUUUCCCAGGACAAGGCUUAUCCAUUGCACUCUGGAUGUGCUGACCCCUGCGAUUUCCCCAAAUGUGGGAAACUCGACUGCAUAAUUUGUGGUAGUAGGGGACUGUGUUCACACUUUCCCCUG